GGUUCCAUAGUGUAGCGGUUAUCACGUCUGCUUUACACGCAGAAGGUCUCCGGUUCAAUCCCGGAUGGAACCA
Molecule: transfer RNA, 73 nt
Filed under: Drosophila ficusphila
Lineage: Eukaryota; Metazoa; Arthropoda; Insecta; Diptera; Drosophilidae
Description: tRNA-Val
Rfam family: tRNA
About the family: Transfer RNA (tRNA) molecules are approximately 80 nucleotides in length. Their secondary structure includes four short double-helical elements and three loops (D, anti-codon, and T loops).
Source: RNAcentral